Molecule: ribosomal RNA, 497 nt
Filed under: uncultured bacterium
Lineage: Bacteria
Description: partial 16S ribosomal RNA
Rfam family: Bacterial small subunit ribosomal RNA
Source: RNAcentral
GACGAACGCUGGCGGCGUGCCUAAUACAUGCAAGUCGAGCGCACAAGCUUGGUGCUUGUUCCUAUUGCAUGAGCAGCGGACGGGUGAGUAACGCGUGGAUAAUCUGCCUUUGAGCGGGGGACAACUUUUGGAACCGAAUGCUAAUACCGCAUAAAAACUUUAAACACAAGUUUUAAGUUUGAAAGAGGCUUUUGCAUCACUCAAAGAUGAUCCCGCGUUGUAUUAGCUAGUUGGUGAGGUAAAGGCUCACCAAGGCGAUGAUACAUAGCCGACCUGAGAGGGUGGUCGGCCACAUUGGGAAUGAGACACGGGUCAAAAGUCUAAGGGAGGCAGCAGGAGGGAAACUUCCGGCAUGGAGGAAAGGCUGACCGAGGCAAGGCGGGUGGGGGAAGGAGGGUCUCGGAUCGGAAAACUCCGUUUGUUGAGAAGAAAGUUGGUGAGAGUGGAAAGCGCAUCAAGUGACGGUAACUACUCAGAAAGGGACGGCUAACUACGUG